RNAcentral lists this ribosomal RNA (497 nucleotides) under uncultured bacterium. Its description in RNAcentral is "partial 16S ribosomal RNA". It matches the Rfam family "Bacterial small subunit ribosomal RNA", at positions 28 to 507 of the family's 1533-position model. The record is from RNAcentral.
GAUGAACGCUGGCGGCGUGCCUAAUACAUGCAAGUCGAGCGAACAGAUGAGGAGCUUGCUCCUCUGACGUUAGCGGCGGACGGGUGAGUAACACGUGGAUAACCUACCUAUAAGACUGGGAUAACUUCGGGAAACCGGAGCUAAUACCGGAUAAUAUAUUGAACCGCAUGGUUCAAUAGUGAAAGACGGUUUUGCUGUCACUUAUAGAUGGAUCCGCGCCGCAUUAGCUAGUUGGUAAGGUAACGGCUUACCAAGGCAACGAUGCGUAGCCGACCUGAGAGGGUGAUCGGCCACACUGGAACUGAGACACGGUCCAGACUCCUACGGGAGGCAGCAGUAGGGAAUCUUCCGCAAUGGGCGAAAGCCUGACGGAGCAACGCCGCAUGAGUGAUGAAGGUCUUCGGAUCGUAAAACUCUGUUAUUAGGGAAGAACAAAUGUGUAAGUAACUAUGCACGUCUUGACGGUACCUAAUCAGAAAGCCACGGCUAACUACGUG